AGUGAACGCUGGCGGUAGGCCUAACACAUGCAAGUCGAACGGCAGCACAGUAAGAGCUUGCUCUUACGGGUGGCGAGUGGCGGACGGGUGAGGAAUACAUCGGAAUCUACUUUUUCGUGGGGGAUAACGUAGGGAAACUUACGCUAAUACCGCAUACGACCUACGGGUGAAAGCAGGGGAUCUUCGGACCUUGCGCGAUUGAAUGAGCCGAUGUCGGAUUAGCUAGUUGGCGGGGUAAAGGCCCACCAAGGCGACGAUCCGUAGCUGGUCUGAGAGGAUGAUCAGCCACACUGGAGCUGAGACACGGUCCAGACUCCUACGGGAGGCAGCAGUGGGGAAUAGUGGGCAAUGGGCGCAAGCCUGAUCCAGCCAUACCGCGUGGGUGAAGAAGGCCUUCGGGUUGUAAAGCCCUUUUGUUGGGAAAGAAAAGCAGCAGGUUAAUACCCCGCUGUUCUGACGGUACCCAAAGAAUAAGCACCGGCUAACUUCGUG
Molecule: ribosomal RNA, 492 nt
Filed under: uncultured bacterium
Lineage: Bacteria
Description: partial 16S ribosomal RNA
Rfam family: Bacterial small subunit ribosomal RNA
Source: RNAcentral